RNAcentral lists this transfer RNA (70 nucleotides) under Dussumieria elopsoides (slender rainbow sardine). RNAcentral describes it as "tRNA-His". It matches the Rfam family "tRNA". Rfam says of the family: Transfer RNA (tRNA) molecules are approximately 80 nucleotides in length. Their secondary structure includes four short double-helical elements and three loops (D, anti-codon, and T loops). The record is from RNAcentral. Lineage: Eukaryota; Metazoa; Chordata; Actinopteri; Clupeiformes; Dussumieriidae.
GCAGAUGUAGUCUAAUACAAAACGUUGGAUUGUGAUUCCAAAAACAGGGGUGUAAGACCCCUCAUCCGCA